AUGGAUCUCUAGGCUCUCAUAUCGAUGAAGAACACAGUGAAAUGUGAUAAGUAAUGUGAAUUGCAGAAUCCAGUGAAUCAUUGAAUCUUUGAACGCACCUUGCACCUUUUGGUAUUCCAAAAGGUACACCUGUUUGAGUGUCAUGAAAAUCUCUC
This 155-nucleotide ribosomal RNA is filed under the name Puccinia carduorum. RNAcentral describes it as "5.8S ribosomal RNA". It matches the Rfam family "5.8S ribosomal RNA". Rfam says of the family: 5.8S ribosomal RNA (5.8S rRNA) is a component of the large subunit of the eukaryotic ribosome. It is transcribed by RNA polymerase I as part of the 45S precursor that also contains 18S and 28S rRNA. Functionally, it is thought that 5.8S rRNA may be involved in ribosome translocation. The record is from RNAcentral. Lineage: Eukaryota; Fungi; Basidiomycota; Pucciniomycetes; Pucciniales; Pucciniaceae.